GCAAGGAAUGUUUGAAUACCAGAGAACACGACCCAUUAAGGUGUAGCAUAUUAGCAUGACAACCAUUGGAAUACCAUAGAUAUUUUAAUAUUACCUUUUCGUCAUUGUGCUUGAGUACAGUAAGCAGGGCGCUGCUAGCAAACAACUUAUCACCCAUAUUAGUAACAGAAUGAUCCGUACUUUUCGUCUUGAUGUUCGUCUCUUCAAAGGGCAAAAUUUUAUUAAUUUAAAUAAACAAAGUUCUGAAGAGUCAAAAUCAACAACGGCACCGGGGAUCAUUUUUUAAGAUUGCUUUUAUGGACGCCAUUUUUAAUGUUGUUAAAAAAAAAUUUUAUUUAACAAAAAAAUAUUUUUGUACUUUUCAUAAGUUUAUAAAUAAACUGUAAAAAUUUUAAAUCGAUUGCUCUUUUUUUAAACCUUAAAAAAAAAUCCAGAAAACAACCUUAAUUUGAGGGUUCUAGACCACCGGGACCCCUUAACAUACAUAUGUGUGUAGGUACAUAUCAUGCGGGUCCAUGGGGCUUAGAUCAAAAAAUAACAGUUCGUUGCCUUUUAUUGUUCAAGGAAAAUGUUGUUUAUGGGCUAAUGUGUAACAUAUUUAUGUAUGUAUUCCGUUAUGUUAUUU
This is a long non-coding RNA of Bactrocera neohumeralis, 625 nucleotides long. RefSeq lists it as uncharacterized. The record is from RefSeq and is a predicted model, not a curated record. The transcript is spliced from 4 exons. Lineage: Eukaryota; Metazoa; Arthropoda; Insecta; Diptera; Tephritidae.